RNAcentral lists this ribosomal RNA (463 nucleotides) under uncultured bacterium. RNAcentral describes it as "partial 16S ribosomal RNA". It matches the Rfam family "Bacterial small subunit ribosomal RNA", at positions 28 to 507 of the family's 1533-position model. The record is from RNAcentral.
GAUGAACGCUGACAGAAUGCUUAACACAUGCAAGUCUUUGGCGAAGCUGUGCUUGCACAGCCUAGCCAAGGCGGACGGGUGAGUAACGCGUAAGGAACUUGCCCUGCAGUCAGGGAUAACAGACGGAAACGACUGAUAAGACCUGGUAAAGUCAGGCGGACUCAUGUCCAGCCUGAUGAAAAGAGAUGCUGCAGGAGAGCCUUGCGUCCUAUUAGCUUGUUGGUGGGGUAACGGCCCACCAAGGCGAUGAUAGGUAGCCGGCCUGAGAGGGUGGACGGCCACAAGGGGACUGAGAUACGGCCCUUACUCCUACGGGAGGCAGCAGUGGGGAAUAUUGGACAAUGGGGGCAACCCUGAUCCAGCAAUUCUGUGUGCACGAUGAAGGUUUUCGGAUUGUAAGGUGCUUUCAGCAGGGAAGAAAAAAAUGACGGUACCUGCAGAAGAAGCGACGGCUAAAUACGUG